GGAAGGCAGCAGCCGCAACUAGACCCCAGGAGUGCGUUG
This 39-nucleotide non-coding RNA is filed under the name Hemiselmis rufescens. Lineage: Eukaryota; Cryptophyceae; Cryptomonadales; Hemiselmidaceae. The record is from RNAcentral.